This 1649-nucleotide long non-coding RNA is filed under the name Homo sapiens (human). RNAcentral describes it as "long non-coding RNA NONHSAT163227.1". The record is from RNAcentral. Lineage: Eukaryota; Metazoa; Chordata; Mammalia; Primates; Hominidae.
AAAUAAAGCUAAGCAUAAGAGGCUAUGACAGCACAAAAGAAGGAGUGAAAACUCAGUUUCGAAGGGACAAAGUCAAGGAGACUUCAAAGAUGAGAAAUGAUUGCACUGGGCCUUAGAGAGGAAGUUCAGCAGAACAAGGUGGGAAGGGCACGAUAUCAGAGUAAGAGGCACUGAUGGUGAACAAAUAUAGAGACUGGAAUCCAGUGACGUCACACAGGCGCUCUGGAAGCCAGUGAUGCAGUAUCAGAAUCUGGGAUCUUCACCUCCCAUUGUCUCUGUCUCUCUCUUUCUCCUCUGCUUCCCCUCACCCCACAACCAAAGUCAAGAGCGCAGACCCCAUGAUCACCUGAUACUUCCAAGCAAGCAGGUGUUCUUUUCAGAAGCCAGAAGCUGAUAACCUGGGCUUUCUGAUCUAACCCCAGCCCAAAUUCAUUGCAAUGGAGGAAUUGGGGAGGAGAUUCUUCCUACUGAGAAGUGGGUGCCAACUCUCCCUUUCAAAUUUGUUCAUCAACAAACUAAAGGGGAUGCCAGAAAUGUCUGGAGCAAUGGAAGAACCACUGGAAUAGUGCUCCUGCCUGAUUGUAUCUACUUAACCCACUCUCCAAGAGCCAGAAUCAGAUUUCAACCGUAUGGAAUCAUCUACAAUGCAGCAGAUGGGUUUACAAGUCUCUUGGUCUCUUCAUGUAAUUAACAGCCAAGAAGUCUAAAGCUUGCAUUGUUUACGUGGAAGAUGUUUCUUGCCCAUUCCCAUGCCAUGCCAUCUGAAAUCGCUCCUUUUUUUAUUUUUUCUGUGCAGUUUUUUUAACUUUGUGGGAUCCUCUGCAUAUAAAACUCCAUUCAAGGAAGAAGGCGCAGCAAUCGUGUCCCAAGUCCUUGAGGACUUCACAGGGUGUUCUAGUGUCCUGAGAAUAUACCUGCCUAAGGAAUUUGGCUAUAGCUGGUAUUGGGUUCCUCAAACCAGCCCACCUGCGCUAUGGGAAUGUCAAAAUUGUCCUGGCAAGCUGAGGGGGCAUCCAGAGGUCACCCAGCUUUCCCCUGAAGCGUUGCUCAGAGGCCACUGUACCAUAAAAGGGAGUUCCCAUCCCACACUGGUUCUGAAGGGCGUAUCUGUUAGGGAGACUCCCAUGAGGGAGGGGAGCCGAGGGAAGAGGCUGAGUGAGGUGAAGAGAGUGUGUUUGUCCCUCCAGCUGUGCCAGGGUCUUCUCAGCCCUUCUCACAGAGGGCUGUCUGUGGACCUCUGUUCCUGGAAUCACCCCUCUGCACCACCCAAACUCCCUGAUUAUGAAUUACACAAUACAUCCCUAAUUCAGGCACUGUGGUGGGAUUCUGCCAUUCGAGAAUCUCAGACUAAGAUCAUCUGUUUCAACAAGCAUCGAUCAAGCACCCACAUUGCAGCUGGCACUCUGCUUGAUGGUGAGAUGAGUGUCAAGACCAGUUCCUUAUUUUACAGGGAAGGCCAUCAAGGUUGAAAGUGGAAAUUUCCCAAGGUCAGAGACAGAGUGGUAGAGCCAGUCCAUGCAUUCUGGUCUCCUGUCUCCUGUUCCAGUGCUCAUUCGUGACACUGCUGCUCUCCCUAACACUUCAUCCCACGAGAAUACUCUUGAGAAUAUUGUUCUUGGCUGUUCCAAAUAGAAAGAUCAUCUGUCCAU